Molecule: transfer RNA, 73 nt
Filed under: Thermomonospora curvata
Lineage: Bacteria; Bacillati; Actinomycetota; Actinomycetes; Streptosporangiales; Thermomonosporaceae
Also listed under: 1 other name
Description: tRNA-Lys
Rfam family: tRNA
About the family: Transfer RNA (tRNA) molecules are approximately 80 nucleotides in length. Their secondary structure includes four short double-helical elements and three loops (D, anti-codon, and T loops).
Source: RNAcentral
GCGCCGUUAGCUCAAUUGGCAGAGCAGCGGACUCUUAAUCCGCGGGUUCGGGGUUCGACUCCCUGACGGCGCA